Molecule: non-coding RNA, 695 nt
Organism: Equus caballus (horse)
Lineage: Eukaryota; Metazoa; Chordata; Mammalia; Perissodactyla; Equidae
Source: RefSeq, a predicted model, not a curated record
AGAUGGCAGAGGAGGCGGGCUGCGUCGAGGGAGACGAGGGACUGUCACUCUUCUCUCUAUGAACAGGGGUGGAAGGAAGAUGGAUUUGGAGGAGGGUCAUACAGUAUGGCAUCCUUUCCAUAGCAAUGGGUCGCCACUAUCUAGAAAGCCGCAGAAGAUUACAGCAUUUAAAGAGAGAACUGAGAUGUCCUAGGAAAUCAUAAUGCCCACUUUACAGUUAAGGAAACUGAAGACUGACUUGCCCAAGGUCCGAGGAAAAUAAAGUGACUUGCCCAGGGUCCCAACAAGGAUUCAGUGCCAUUUUCAAAUAACAUUCUCACUAUAGAAAAUAGAGAGAGUAUAGAUUAGUGUCACUGUAAUCUCCAGGGAGAGAUCCUACAGACAGAUGCUCACAUUGGCUCAGACACAGGCUUAAGGGUCCCAGGGGCAGUGACCUUUCUCUGGUCAGUGGGAGAGGUGACUACAGAAGAAUGGUGAGAGAGAUGCAAUGUCGCUGGCUUUGAAGAUGGAGGAAGGGGCCACAAACCAAGGAAUGUGAGCAGCCUCCAUAAGCUGGAAAAGGACAGUGAAGAGAUUCUCCCCUAGAGCCUCCAGAAGGGACCACAGCCCUACCAACAUCUGAUUUCAGCCCAGUGCAACCUGCAACAGGCUUCUGAUCUACACAACUGUGAGAUAAUAUAUGUGUGUUGUUUGAA